Meriones unguiculatus (Mongolian gerbil) is the source of this 647-nucleotide long non-coding RNA. RefSeq lists it as uncharacterized. NCBI's taxonomy places the organism in Eukaryota, Metazoa, Chordata, Mammalia, Rodentia, Muridae. The transcript is spliced from 2 exons. The record is from RefSeq and is a predicted model, not a curated record.
UGGAGGGCCCCACAGACCCAGACAUCCCCUAAGGGUCUGGGGCCGUCUUGAUCGGAGAUCCUCGGUACCCGUUCACACAGCAGGAAGCAUGGUCACCAGGAGGACCAGGGCUUCUCCCCGGGACAGCCUUCUCGCCUGCCCCCAGGUGGCUGUGGCGGGGUACUGCAAGGUCCUCAGUACUGUCGAGUAGAUGAGCAAUCCGGAGCCUCAAGGUUAUUUACUCUGCAUCCCAGAGGCGGUUUUGCAGAGGGAGAAGCUUGCACGAAGCCAUCAGCCAGCUCAUCCCUGUCACCCAAACCCAACUGAGCCCAGGUCUCAUCUCUCUCCAGCCCACCACAUCUCAUCCCACGCUCAGGAGAAAGGCUCUCAGCCACGAACCCAUCUUUCCACUCCCCUGCACCCGGGUCAGCAGGGCCGUGUUAAAGAAUAACAAAUCGGGGCUGGAGAGAUGGCUCAGUAGUUAAGAGCACUGUCUGCUCUUCCAAAGGUUAUGAGUUCAAUUCCCAGCAACCACAUGGUGGCUCACAACCAUCUGUAAUGUGAACUGAUUCCCUCUUCUGGCAGAUGUAAAUGUAGACUGAACACUCAUAUACAUGAAAUAAAUAAAUCUAAAAAAAAAAAAAAAAAAAAAAAAAAAGAAUAACAAA